RNAcentral lists this ribosomal RNA (521 nucleotides) under uncultured bacterium. RNAcentral describes it as "bacterial SSU rRNA". It matches the Rfam family "Archaeal small subunit ribosomal RNA", at positions 345 to 866 of the family's 1478-position model. The record is from RNAcentral.
AACCUCCGCAAUGUGAGAAAUCGCGACGGGGGGAUCCCAAGUGCCAUUCUUAACGGGAUGGCUUUUCAUUAGUGUAAAGAGCUUUUGGAAUAAGGGCUGGGCAAGACCGGUGCCAGCCGCCGCGGUAACACCGGCAGCUCUAGUGGUAGCAGUUUUUAUUGGGCCUAAAGCGUCCGUAGCCGGUUUAAUAAGUCUCUGGUGAAAUCCUGUAGCUUAACUAUGGGAAUUGCUGGAGAUACUAUUAGACUUGAGACCGGGAGAGGUUAGAGGUACUCCCAGGGUAGAGGUGAAAUUCUGUAAUCCUGGGAGGACCGCCUGUUGCGAAGGCGUCUAACUGGAACGGUUCUGACGGUGAGGGACGAAAGUUAGGGGCGCGAACCGGAUUAGAUACCCGGGUAGUCCUAACCGUAAACGAUGCGGACUUGGUGUUGGGGUGGCUUUGAGCUGCUCCGGUGCCGAAGGGAAGCUGUUAAGUCCGCCGCCUGGGAAGUACGGUCGCAAGACUGAAACUUAAAGGAAUU